This 209-nucleotide long non-coding RNA is filed under the name Elaeis guineensis (African oil palm). RNAcentral's name for it is "long non-coding RNA (EGUI_LNC031960)". Lineage: Eukaryota; Viridiplantae; Streptophyta; Magnoliopsida; Arecales; Arecaceae. The record is from RNAcentral.
AUUGAAUCUAUGUUGAGUUAAUGGCAUAUCCCUUCCACCGACCUCACUUAUCUGGCCAACAUGGUGAAUUAUGUUUUGAUUAGAUCACUUAAUGAUUGGGGUUGACCUAUGCUAACUAGAAAAUCAGUAUGACUGAUUUAAGUACCCCUAGUUCAACUUGUCUUGAGUCCUUUUUAUGACUUGAUAAAGUCAGUGAGAGGAUACACACA